Molecule: transfer RNA, 64 nt
Filed under: Limbodessus compactus
Lineage: Eukaryota; Metazoa; Arthropoda; Insecta; Coleoptera; Dytiscidae
Also listed under: 1 other name
Description: tRNA-Tyr
Rfam family: tRNA
About the family: Transfer RNA (tRNA) molecules are approximately 80 nucleotides in length. Their secondary structure includes four short double-helical elements and three loops (D, anti-codon, and T loops). Further hydrogen bonds mediate the characteristic L-shaped molecular structure. tRNAs have two regions of fundamental functional importance: the anti-codon, which is responsible for specific mRNA codon recognition, and the 3' end, to which the tRNAs corresponding amino acid is attached (by aminoacyl-tRNA synthetases). tRNAs cope with the degeneracy of the genetic code in two manners: having more than one tRNA (with a specific anti-codon) for a particular amino acid; and 'wobble' base-pairing, i.e. permitting non-standard base-pairing at the 3rd anti-codon position.
Source: RNAcentral
GGUAAAAUGGCUGAAGUUAGGUGAUAAAUUGUAAAUUUAUUAAUGGGAGUUAUCUCUUUUACCA